CAGAAAUUUAUUCUCUUACAGUUCUGGAGGCAGAAACCUGAAAUGCAGGUGUGGGCAGGGCUGCUGCCCCUCCAACGCUUCCAGGGGAGGACUUUCCCGCCUCCUCCACCUCUGGUGCCCCAGGGGUCCCUUGGCUUGUGGCUGCAUCACUCCAGUCUCUGCCUCACCUUCACAUGCCGUCCUCCUUCCGUGUCUGUCCUCACAUGGUGUUCUCAUCUCCAUGUGUCUCCUCGUCUUAUAAGGACCCCAGUCACGGUGGGUCAGGGUCCACCCCAAAGACCUCAUCUUGACUUGAGCACGUCUGUAAAGACCCUAUUUCCUAAAACGGUCACCUUCAUAGGUUCCCUAGUUAGGCCUUCAACUUGUCUUUUGGGGACACAAUUCAACACAAUGCAAGUGGAAUGGCCACCCCUAACUGUGUAUGGUCAUACUUUAGACAGGGGGUGAAAGAGCCUGAAUUUAUCAAUCCCCUAGUUUAUCAAGCUGGAAACGCUUUGAGGUUUUGAAGGAAUGCCUAAUGAAUGACAGGAUCUAGAACCAAGGUGAGUAACGAAUUGACCCCUAGAAAAAGAAGGGGCUGACCCUGGCUGAGCCCCACCCACCCUGGCCACUACGGGGUUGGUGUAAGUCAUCACCGGCCUGCAUUUGGGAAGCGCAUGAAGUCAGGCUCUGGCUGUCCAUGUAGUCUGUGCCCUCAGGAUCCUUUAGGAACAUUUAUGCCUCCGGUCAGCAUUGCCCCGGCCCUCGGCCCCAAGACUCCUGCCCUCGAUAGGGCAGUGCCCUGGCUCCACACAGGCUGCACCCUCCUCCAAGGUGCACGGGGUCACAGGUCAAGGAACAUGCUUGCCUGGAUUCCAUGCCCACCCAUGUUCUAAGAACUCUGGAAUCUCCUUCCCAAAGGAUGCCAUGCUCACCUCCAGGGCCCGUGCAUGCACCCUAGGCCCAAGGGGGCUGUUACAGGUGGGGGGCACUGUGAUGAAGCCUGGAUGAUAGGCCAGGAGGGAACAUCCCACUACAAGCCAGGUGGACAAAGCAGGCCCCGGAUGGAGUCUCCACUUGUGUGCUUGCUCUAGGCCUGACAAAAGCCAGGGGUAGGCCUCCCUAACGUCCCAGAUCCUGCCCCUGCAGCUCGGGGGCCCCAAGAUCACUUCUAAGUUCAAUGAUUCACAGAACGCAGAAAAGCUGCUGUGUUCACAGUUAAGGUUUGUUACAGUGAAAGGACACAGAUUAAAUCAUUAAAUCAUCAGCAGGAAAAGGUGCAGAGCCGAGUUGAGGGGAGACCCCACGGGAAGUCCUAGCUCAUCUCCCAGGCGAGCCAGAUGUCCCCCGGCUUGGGGACACCACCAGGCCCGUCCUCCUGAGAAGGCCUGUGAAUAAGACUCUGAUCACACUUAUUUCUCUGCCAGACACACCGCCAGGCCCUGGGGGGUCUCCAGACCUUGAACAGCCCUAUGUGCUGUGUAUGAGUUCCUGUGGCUGCCGUGACAAAGUACCCCAAACUGGGUGACUCCACACAACAGAAACUUAUUCUCUCUCAGUUCUGGAGGACGGAAAUUCAAGGUCAAGGUGUCAGUAGGGUCGUGCUCCCUCUGAAGGCUCUAGAGGUGGAUCCUUCUGGCCUCUUCCAGCUACCAGUGUGGCCAGGAAUCUUUGGGGUUCUCUAGUUUGUAGAUGCAUCACUCCAAUCUCUGUCUCCAUCAUCACGUGGCCAUUCUCUGUGUAUCGUUGUUCACAUCAUCUUCCCUCUUUUUUGUAUUACUUUUUUUUUUUGCAAGAGAAGACUUGCCCUAAGCUAGAGACAUUGGAUCAAGGUCCCACCUGACUCCUGACUAAUUACAUCUCAACAAUCCUAGUUUCAAAUAGUGACACAUUCUCAGAUACUGGGACGUAGGACUUCAAUGUGUCUUUCUGGGGGACACAACUCAACCCAUAGCAGGCUGCCAGGCUGUAAUCCCAUGAGAGCACCUCUCCAGGGAAACUCGUCGAGUCAGUGAAGACCCCGGGUCAGCCCCAGCAUUUGUUCAGUCUGCAAUCAGCAGCUGAACACGGUGGGUACAAUGGUCACAGAAAUAGUUUUAAACAAACCAUUGCUGAGAUCCACAAGAAGUGAGUUGAGAAAUCAAAAUAAAAUCAACAAUUCUGAGUCUUUGGUUCUCUCAACAACAGAAACAACAGAAAAGCUUGAACUCAUGAUUUGUGCCAUGAGUAUCAAAGUCAGAGAUUCAGAGGCCAAGAAGGAAAGCUGAACCUUGGCAAAGAAAGCUUUCUAACGAAUGCCCUUGUUUCCACCAUUUUCCGUCCAGUAUUUCAUGUGGUAUUUUCUCACAAUACAGCCGCCAACCCCACAUGGCUCCGAAGACAAAAUUAUCAGAAAGAAAAACAAGACAAACUGUUUGGUUAACACACAGACUGGCAUUUGCAGGGUCUCCAUCAGGAUCUGGCCACUCUGCUUCCUAAAGUGGGAGCCACGGCACAGCCUUCGGUCCUCCUCGCCCUGUGUGAGCUCCAGUGCUGGCUCAGGCUGGUCUGGGGCUCCUGCGAGGUGGGAAGCCCAGGUCGAGGGGAUCGUCCUGCCAGCUGUGACCCUGCCGAAGGGAAGGACAUUAUUAAGUCCAAGAACAGUAUUUAUGUCUCUCCGACCACGGUUUUAUUGCCUUGUGGUGUGGAGUGUGGUUUGGGUAAGAAAUCACAAAUUUCCAUAUUAGGAAAACUACUGCGGACCGAGGAAGGAAAUGUCACUGAUAAUCCUGGUGGCUGCCUUUACGGGUUCAUCGAGACGAUUAAGUGACCCUCUGGUCGAGAGUCUGGAGUGUGGAGGUGAAGUCACUUUGCGCACGUGAGACCUCAGCUGAGGAGGAGGGUUUGAUCUCUGAGGAAAGGGCAGGCUGGCAGAGUGGAACACUCGUACCGAGGACCCUUGUCUGCAGUGCCAACCCAAUGAGAAGCGUAAUCGUUUUAGCCCUAUGGCAGUCCUGGGGGAGGUGACUCCCACCUCACGAAUCAGGAUUCGGAGGCUCUGAGAGGUCAGUGUGUCCAAACUCGGGCAGUCAGGAACGUGGAGCUGGAUUUGGAACCACCCCUGUCUGGGUCCAGGCCCUGCCCAUCCCGCCGGAGCGCGGCUCCCCGCUACCCCGGAACCCUCAGACAGCCGUUGGGCCGCGUGCCUCCACAGCUCCGAGCAGCGAGUCAGGCUCCGCGGUCUGUGAGCGGGGCAGCCCCUGAGGCGGGGUCAGAGGGAGGGAGGGGCUCCCGUCUCUGCCCCUGCCCUGGGCCCCUUCUGGCAGUCACCAGGCAAGAAGCUUGGAGGCCUGGCUGCAGGGCGGAGGGGAGCCUUUGAAGCAGAGCUCAGAC
Equus caballus (horse) is the source of this 3351-nucleotide long non-coding RNA. Lineage: Eukaryota; Metazoa; Chordata; Mammalia; Perissodactyla; Equidae. The record is from Ensembl.